GCCGUUAUAACUCAGGUGGUAGAGUGCCAAAUUCGUAAUUUGGAAGUCAGAGGUUCGAGUCCUCUUAACGGCACCA
This 76-nucleotide transfer RNA is filed under the name Rhodospirillaceae bacterium. Its description in RNAcentral is "tRNA-Thr". It matches the Rfam family "tRNA". From Rfam's summary of the family: Transfer RNA (tRNA) molecules are approximately 80 nucleotides in length. The record is from RNAcentral. Lineage: Bacteria; Pseudomonadati; Pseudomonadota; Alphaproteobacteria; Rhodospirillales; Rhodospirillaceae.